Molecule: ribosomal RNA, 200 nt
Filed under: uncultured bacterium
Lineage: Bacteria
Description: partial 16S ribosomal RNA
Rfam family: Bacterial small subunit ribosomal RNA
Source: RNAcentral
AUUGAACGCUGGCGGAAUGCUUUACACAUGCAAGUCGAACGGCAGCACGGGAGCUUGCUCCUGGUGGCGAGUGGCGAACGGGUGAGUAAUACAUCGGAACGUACCCAGUUAUGGGGGAUAACUAACCGAAAGGUUAGCUAAUACCGCAUACGCCCUGAGGGGGAAAGCGGGGGACCGUAAGGCCUCGCGUAAUUGGAGUG